Molecule: small RNA, 138 nt
Filed under: Paenibacillus sp.
Lineage: Bacteria; Bacillati; Bacillota; Bacilli; Caryophanales; Paenibacillaceae
Description: c-di-AMP sequence
Rfam family: c-di-AMP riboswitch aptamer (ydaO/yuaA leader)
About the family: This family represents a conserved RNA structure found upstream of the ydaO and yuaA genes in Bacillus subtilis and related genes in other bacteria.
Source: RNAcentral
UAAAAAAGUGUGCCGAAUCUAUCAGAAUAGUACGGGGGACGAUUUACAACAUUUGGGGUGAAUGCAGCAGUUAAGAAAUGCUAGAGUACCUUCUACUCGAACCCGACAACUAACCUCGGAGGCAAUUGGAGGAAAUUU